AGCAUCGUUUGCAGACAGGUUGG
RNAcentral lists this small nuclear RNA (23 nucleotides) under Arabidopsis thaliana (thale cress). Its description in RNAcentral is "snRNA_03064". Lineage: Eukaryota; Viridiplantae; Streptophyta; Magnoliopsida; Brassicales; Brassicaceae. The record is from RNAcentral.